CCGAGUCUUAACUGGGCGUUAAGUUGCAGGGUAUAGACCCGAAACCCGGUGAUCUAGCCAUGGGCAGGUUGAAGGUUGGGUAACACUAACUGGAGGACCGAACCGACUAAUGUUGAAAAAUUAGCGGAUGACUUGUGGCUGGGGGUGAAAGGCCAAUCAAACCGGGAGAUAGCUGGUUCUCCCCGAAAGCUAUUUAGGUAGCGCCUCGUGAAUUCAUCUCCGGGGGUAGAGCACUGUUUCGGCAAGGGGGUCAUCCCGACUUACCAACCCGAUGCAAACUGCGAAUACCGGAGAAUGUUAUCACGGGAGACACACGGCGGGUGCUAACGUCCGUCGUGAAGAGGGAAACAACCCAGACCGCCAGCUAAGGUCCCAAAGUCAUGGUUAAGUGGGAAACGAUGUGGGAAGGCCCAGACAGCCAG
RNAcentral lists this ribosomal RNA (422 nucleotides) under Escherichia coli. RNAcentral describes it as "partial 23S ribosomal RNA". It matches the Rfam family "Bacterial large subunit ribosomal RNA", at positions 677 to 1096 of the family's 2925-position model. The record is from RNAcentral. Lineage: Bacteria; Pseudomonadati; Pseudomonadota; Gammaproteobacteria; Enterobacterales; Enterobacteriaceae.